RNAcentral lists this ribosomal RNA (253 nucleotides) under uncultured bacterium. RNAcentral's name for it is "partial 16S ribosomal RNA". It matches the Rfam family "Bacterial small subunit ribosomal RNA", at positions 524 to 776 of the family's 1533-position model. The record is from RNAcentral.
GACAGAGGGUGCGAACGUUGUUCGGAAUUACUGGGCGUAAAGCGCGUGUAGGCGGUUCGGCAAGUCGGAUGUGAAAGCCCAGGGCUCAACCCUGGAAGUGCACUCGAAACUGCCGAACUGGAGUCCCGGAGAGGAAGGCGGAAUUCUCGGUGUAGAGGUGAAAUUCGUAGAUAUCGAGAGGAACACCUGUGGCGAAGGCGGCCUUCUGGACGGUGACUGACGCUGAGACGCGAAAGCGUGGGGAGCAAACAGG